This is a non-coding RNA of Otolemur garnettii (small-eared galago), 110 nucleotides long. NCBI's taxonomy places the organism in Eukaryota, Metazoa, Chordata, Mammalia, Primates, Galagidae. The record is from Rfam.
GUGUUCGCUUUGGCAGCACAUACAUUUAAAUUGGGAUGAUACAGAGAUUAUUAGCAAGGCCCCUGUGCAAGGAUGAUGACACACAUAUCCGCAAAGCAUUCCAUAUUUGG